AGACGUGGGUGGCAAACGUUACCCGGAUUUACUGGGCGUAAAGUGCGCGUAGGCGGCUCGGUAAGUUGGGCGUGAAAGCUCCCGGCUCAACCGGGAGAGGACGCUCAAGACUGCCGGGCUUGAGGGCGGUAGAGGGAGGCGGAAUUCCCGGUGUAGCGGUGAAAUGCGUAGAUAUUGGGAGGAACGCCAGUGGGGAAGCCGGCCUCCUGGGCCGACCCUGACGCUGAGGCGCGAAAGCCAGGGGAGCGAACCGGAUUAGAAACCCUAGUAGUCC
RNAcentral lists this ribosomal RNA (274 nucleotides) under uncultured bacterium. RNAcentral's name for it is "partial 16S ribosomal RNA". It matches the Rfam family "Bacterial small subunit ribosomal RNA", at positions 523 to 796 of the family's 1533-position model. The record is from RNAcentral.